CCGCCAUGGACAAUUCCGGGAAGGAAGCGGAGGCGAUGGCGCUGUUGGCCGAGGCGGAGCGCAAAGUGAAGAACUCGCAGUCCUUCUUCUCUGGCCUCUUUGGCUGCUGGAAACGCGUUCUGCCAGGCUGCACAGCUGCACCUGCAGCUCCAGAGCAAGCACGACGCAGCCACCUGCUUUGUGGACGCUGGCAACGCAUUCAAGAAAGCCGACCCCCAAGAGGCCAUUAACUGUUUGAUGCGAGCAAUCGAGAUCUACACAGACAUGGGCCGAUUCACGAUUGCGGCCAAGCACCACAUCUCCAUUGCUGAGAUCUAUGAGACGGAGUUGGUGGACAUCGAGAAGGCCAUUGCCCACUACGAGCAGUCCGCAGACUACUACAAAGGCGAGGAGUCCAACAGGUAGCCCCCUUCCUGCCUGCCCCAGCCCCGCAGGGACCGCCACCACUUCCCCUCACUACUCCUCCCCACACAGCUCAGCCAACAAGUGUCUGCUGAAGGUGGCUGGUUACGCCGCGCUGCUGGAGCAGUAUCAGAAGGCCAUUGACAUCUACGAACAGGUGGGGACAGGUGGGGAUGGCGGCUUCCACCCUGCCCCCUCUCAGGGCCUGUGCCUCCUCCUAAGCCCCGGCACCUUGUUCUGG
This 643-nucleotide small RNA is filed under the name Pan troglodytes (chimpanzee). RNAcentral's name for it is "retained intron". Lineage: Eukaryota; Metazoa; Chordata; Mammalia; Primates; Hominidae. The record is from RNAcentral.